AAGUCAACGAAGAUAAGGAAUAUUAGACGCUUAUAUUUUACAGAGACCAGGUGGAUAGUGUGAACUUGGAGAUUGAUGCGUUCGAACUCGCCUUUGAGUUUCCUGCUGAAUUAUAGUAAGGGGAACGUUUUUCCGCGUUAAGGAAUCAAGAGUGUGGCUGUAAGCUACAAACCUAGGUGGUACCGCGGAACAGAUUUCGUCCUAAGA
Molecule: non-coding RNA, 207 nt
Filed under: Pediococcus claussenii
Lineage: Bacteria; Bacillati; Bacillota; Bacilli; Lactobacillales; Lactobacillaceae
Description: T-box sequence
Rfam family: T-box leader
About the family: Uncharged tRNA acts as the effector for transcription antitermination of genes in the T-box leader family.
Source: RNAcentral